GACGAACGCUGGCGGCGCGCUUAACACAUGCAAGUCGAACGGAAAGGCCUGCUUUCCCUUGUGGAUUGCGGGUACUCGAGUGGCGAACGGGUGAGUAACACGUGAGUGAUCUGCCCCCAACUUGGGUAUAAGCCUGGGAAACUGGGUCUAAUUCCCGAUAGGACUGCAGGGUGGUGCCUGUGGUGGAAAACGAUUCUCUAGUGGUUGGGGAUGAGCUCGCGGCCUAUCAGCUUGUUGGUGGGGUAAUGGCCUACCAAGGCGGCGACGGGUAGCCGGCCUGAGAGGGUGGACGGCCACAUUGGGACUGAGAGACGGCCCAGACUCCUACGGGAGGCAGCAGUGGGGAAUAUUACACAAUGGGCGGAAGCCUGAUGCAGCGACGCCGCGUGGGGGAUGACGGCCUUCGGGUUGUAAACUCCUUUCGACCGCGAGGAAGCCACCUGGUUGGAAGGGUGGUGACGGUAGUGGUAGAAGAAGCACCGGCUAACUACGUG
Molecule: ribosomal RNA, 494 nt
Filed under: uncultured bacterium
Lineage: Bacteria
Description: partial 16S ribosomal RNA
Rfam family: Bacterial small subunit ribosomal RNA
Source: RNAcentral